RNAcentral lists this ribosomal RNA (402 nucleotides) under uncultured eukaryote. Its description in RNAcentral is "SSU rRNA". It matches the Rfam family "Eukaryotic small subunit ribosomal RNA", at positions 592 to 996 of the family's 1831-position model. The record is from RNAcentral.
CAAUAGCGUAUAUUAAAGUUGUUGCGGUUAAAAAGCUCGUAGUUGGAUUUCUGCCGAGGACGACCGGUCCGCCCUCUGGGUGAGUAUCUGGCUCGGCCUGGGCAUCUUCUUGGAGAACGUAUCUGCACUUGACUGUGUGGUGCGGUAUCCAGGACUUUUACUUUGAGGAAAUUAGAGUGUUUCAAGCAGGCAUACGCCUUGAAUACAUUAGCAUGGAAUAAUAAGAUAGGACUUUGGUUCUAUUUUGUUGGUUUCUAGAACUAAAGUAAUGAUUAAUAGGGAUAAUUGGGGGCGAUUUGUAUUAACGCGUCAGAGGUGGAAUUCUUGGAUUGCGUUACGACAAACUAACUGCGAAAGCAUUUGUCCAAGGAUGUUUCAUUGAUCAAGAACGAAAGUAUGGGA